GGGGAAAUAGCUCAGUAGUAGUGCGUAUGCUUGGCGUGCACAAGGUCCUGGGUUCAAUCCCCAGUGCUUCCG
Molecule: transfer RNA, 72 nt
Filed under: Camelus bactrianus (Bactrian camel)
Lineage: Eukaryota; Metazoa; Chordata; Mammalia; Artiodactyla; Camelidae
Also listed under: 1 other name
Rfam family: tRNA
About the family: Transfer RNA (tRNA) molecules are approximately 80 nucleotides in length.
Source: Rfam by way of RNAcentral